UAAGGCAGGAAGUCAUGGUCCCUGCUCAAAGUCUGAGGAUCUAACUAGACCAACUGCAUGGCUCAGUGGAAGUUUCGGGUAGACAUGCUUGCAGAUGAAGAAACUGACCAGUUAAUCAACUAGCUCAAGGUCAUCCAGCUGGCAAAUGGCAGAGCCAGGACUCGAAUCCAGGCAUUCUGGCUCCAGUACUCAAAAACUGCACAAUAAUCUGCGUCACUCCAAAAUAGGAAAGGAUGACAAAUGUUGCAGGGCCGUCCAGGAAGCUGAGGAUUGAAAAGCGCCUACUGGAUUAGGCACUACGGCCACUGUGAACUCAGCAAGAACUCGCUGCAGUCAACAGUAGGUGCUAAUGAACUGCUCAACAUUAUCAGUGCCUAGGCUCAGCUCUUUUGCGCCAGCAGAGUGCCAUAAGCACGGCCCCUCCCAGCCCCUGCUUACAUUGUCCUCCUCCUCCCACUCCUGCUCCAGACUUGUGUCAGAAAGAGGAGACUCACUCCCUAACUGUAGUCGGGAAAGACAAGACCUACGGCUCCAGCUUCCCAAGGGGGUGAAGAGAUGUGUGGGGUGCCUCUUCAUAACUCAGCAAUUGCACCCAGGCACAGAUUUACACACAUUUGGAGCUCAACUCAAUAUCUAUGUCCAGCUUAGUCUCAGCAAAUCUUCAAGCAUUCACAGCUGUCUUCAGGUGCGCAGGGGAUUACUGCGGAGAGAUGUUGAUCGGCUGUUCUCCAUGUCUCCUGUGGGCAGAACAAAAGGAAAGAGGCUUAAAUGUCAGCAAGGGAUUUAAAUAACCCAGCUGCCCUGUAAAGAAGACAAGGCUGUCCAGCUGUUGAGAGAGGCCACAUGUAGAGAGAAGCCUUGGAGGUUGAGAGGCCAUGGGGAGAACAGAAGCACUUCAGCUAAGAGCCAGGACCAAAGUAGUAAAUAGAGCCAUCUGAACCGUCCCAGGAGACACCACAUAGGACAAAGAUGAGCUGAACCUGCGG
RNAcentral lists this long non-coding RNA (986 nucleotides) under Equus asinus (donkey). Its description in RNAcentral is "lncRNA (ENSEASG00005027207.1)". Lineage: Eukaryota; Metazoa; Chordata; Mammalia; Perissodactyla; Equidae. The record is from RNAcentral.